AGUGAACGCUGGCGGUAGGCUUAACACAUGCAAGUCGAACGGCAGCACAGUAAGAGCUUGCUCUUACGGGUGGCGAGUGGCGGACGGGUGAGGAAUACAUCGGAAUCUACUUUUUCGUGGGGGAUAACGUAGGGAAACUUACGCUAAUACCGCAUACGACCUACGGGUGAAGGCAGGGGAUCUUCGGACCUUGCGCGAUUGAAUGAGCCGAUGUCGGAUUAGCUAGUUGGCGGGGUAAAGGCCCACCAAGGCGACGAUCCGUAGCUGGUCUGAGGGGAUGAUCAGCCACACUGGAACUGAGACACGGUCCAGACUCCUACGGGAGGCAGCAGUGGGGAAUAUUGGACAAUGGGCGCAAGCCUGAUCCAGCCAUACCGCGUGGGUGAAGAAGGCCUUCGGGUUGUAAAGCCCUUUUGUUGGGAAAGAAAAGCAGCAGGUUAAUACCCCGCUGUUCUGACGGUACCCAAAGAAUAAGCACCGGCUAACUUCGUG
Molecule: ribosomal RNA, 492 nt
Filed under: uncultured bacterium
Lineage: Bacteria
Description: partial 16S ribosomal RNA
Rfam family: Bacterial small subunit ribosomal RNA
Source: RNAcentral